This 211-nucleotide ribosomal RNA is filed under the name Vibrio parahaemolyticus. RNAcentral describes it as "partial 16S ribosomal RNA". It matches the Rfam family "Bacterial small subunit ribosomal RNA", at positions 1 to 209 of the family's 1533-position model. Lineage: Bacteria; Pseudomonadati; Pseudomonadota; Gammaproteobacteria; Vibrionales; Vibrionaceae. The record is from RNAcentral.
AAAUUGAAGAGUUUGAUCAUGGCUCAGAUUGAACGCUGGCGGCAGGCCUAACACAUGCAAGUCGAGCGGAAACGAGUUAUCAGAACCUUCGGGGGACGAUAACGGCGUCGAGCGGCGGACGGGUGAGUAAUGCCUAGGAAAUUGCCCUGAUGUGGGGGAUAACCAUUGGAAACGAUGGCUAAUACCGCAUGAUGCCUACGGGCCAAAGAGG